CACAUGCAGUCGAACGGAUCCUUCGGGAUUAGUGGCAGACGGGUGAGUAACGCGUGGGAAGCUACCUUGUGGUAGGGAACAACAGUUGGAAACGACUGCUAAUACCCUAUGAGCCCUAUGGGGGAAAGAUUUAUCGCCAUGAGAUGUGCCCGCGUUAGAUUNGCUAGUUGGUAAGGUAAUGGCUUACCAAGGCGACGAUCUAUAGCUGGUCUGAGAGGAUGAUCAGCC
This 228-nucleotide ribosomal RNA is filed under the name bacterium 24F9. RNAcentral's name for it is "partial 16S ribosomal RNA". It matches the Rfam family "Bacterial small subunit ribosomal RNA", at positions 52 to 309 of the family's 1533-position model. The record is from RNAcentral.